RNAcentral lists this long non-coding RNA (248 nucleotides) under Cicer arietinum (chickpea). RNAcentral describes it as "long non-coding RNA (CARI_LNC003448)". The record is from RNAcentral. Lineage: Eukaryota; Viridiplantae; Streptophyta; Magnoliopsida; Fabales; Fabaceae.
AUGCCCUUGUUUAAAAACUUUAAAACCGUGAGGAUGCAUAGCUGCAGUUUUUUCCAACUCGUGAGGCCAUCCUCGGCACUUUCAUACUUAGCAUUUAACUCAGAAUUUUUUCUUCUUUUUCCUUAAUGAACGAUAACCUGUUUACUUAUAUAAAACACUCAAAAGCACAGAUUAGUCAUUAAGCAUAAUCAUAAUCUUUAAUAAAUUUUGUUAUCAUUAAAACCAAUUGAGAGAGAUUUUGUCUCAAC